AGUUCCCCUCGCUCCGUGCCCAUGGGGGGUGUUACCCACAACCAGCCAGUCACCUUCCCUGAGCCCUCAGGAGGCUCCCCGGAUUUCGGCAGGGGCUGCACGCGGUAGGGAAGUGGCAGCGGGCCCUGGGCGUGCCGGGGCUGCAGGAAGAGCGGGAACCUUCGCCACCAGCACAGCCCUGAGCCGGGGCAGCAGGAGCCAUCGUCUCUCCCGGAGGCCCCCGCCCCGCAGCCAGGACGCAGACCCGCGACCUGCCCACGCACCGGGGACCCUCCACCUGCCCAGCUCGCCUGCGAGCUCCUGGCCAGGGCCCGGCCGCCCCGCCCCGCCCAGCCCCCAGCAGGUCCCGGCGGACGCGGCCGAGAACUUCGGGGCUGCGCGUGGGGCCAGGAGCCCGGGAGCCCAGGCCGGACGCUCGGGGCGGGCGACAGGGGCAGGGCCCGGUGCGCAAUCCCCAGCAAGCCUCGCCCUGCCCCACCCGCCCUGCCUCGCGCGGUCCCGGCAGGAAGGAGGGCUGCGUGGGGGUUCUCAAGGGAGGGCAGGGGUCGUGGGGCGCGGAGGUGACACUGGCGGACGUCCCGGCCCGCCCGGAACUCACAGUAUACGAAGGCUAGGGCCUUCAGGAGCACGAUCCGGGUCAGCCAGAAGGUGCCCGCGUGGAGCCCAGCUCCUGCCAGCACUGAGGACUGGACUUCAAGCUGUGGCAGAAGAGGGGGGCUCAGGACUUCGGAGGGAAAGAGUGACCGCUCAAUGCCCCAAACAGAACCCGAAGGAGGAUGCCAGCAACUCUACACUCUGAUGACUGAAUGGGAGUUCCAGGGGCUGCUCAGAAGUGGACGAGGCUGGAGUCACAGGGAUUCCUUAGAGGAAAGAGAACAACUGAGGCUGAAGUAGGCGCUGGAGACCUAGGGGUUAUUGGAUGGAAAUCAGGAAGGGCUGAUUUCUCCCUGUUUGUCAGAGCUCUUUACAUAUGAAAAGUCCUGUUCUUCUGUGUGUGUUGGAAAUGUUGUCCUGGUUUUUUGUUUUGUUUUAACGUGUUCUUGUCUUUAGCCUCUCUAGUGUUCCUAGUGUUUUGGCCUAUAAAUUAUCACCACUGGUAUGGCCAAAUGACCCAUCUUUAUUGCUUGUUCAAUUACCUGUUUAUAUCUUCACCACCUGUAGAGUGAGCCUCGGGUGGGCAGAGACCGACUGUGGACAUCGGGCCCCCAAAUGCAGGCCUGACCGGCCAUGGCCAGAGCCUCCCCAUGUCACUGGGGUAUAGCAUAUGUGUACAGCUUACGGUUUGAUUUCAGUUUUCGUUUCCUUUCCAUGAAAACGCCCCCUUAGGAGUCCAGCCGUGAAGUGGGACCCGUAAAAGGCGUUGCCAUGGGUGUGAGCACCCCAACAUCCUCUCAUGCUGGCCAAGCCUCUGGGCACGGUGUGUGCCUGAGGGCUGGGAGCCUCGGGGAUCGCAGGAGCCAUUGGCCCUGGCUGGCACCUGGCACCCAGGUCCCUCCACAGAGCCCACAACCAGCACCUCUCCUCGUGGCCUGGGCCGCCAGCUUUGGAAGGGCCAGCACAGCCCCCACUGCUCCCCUCCUGAGUGGGGAACGGGACACCCCCGAACCCUUGGGUCAUGCCUGCAGGGCGGGCCCUGUCUGGAUGCCAGGCCUGCCGGGGGAUGGACGGUGAGAGGGAGAGCCCUGCGUCAGGUGUGGCCCCGAGUCGUCCUCAGGUGGGGCAGCCCUCACAAGGAGCCUUUGUGCGCAGCUUCCCCUGCCGGGCAGAGCCGCUCUUCCCGCGAAGGGCACAAUGGGGCAUUGUGCAGAGCAGAAAAGGGCCCCUUGUUCCAGCUUCCAGCGCUCCAGGCUCCAGCUCUUCGUCUGCUCAGGGUGGGAGCAGCCAGCGGAAGGGUCUGCUGGGAGCUCCUGUUCUCUCUGAGCUCAAGUUUCCCUGGGAGCUUGCCCUCCUGGGACGCUGACCACAAGGGGUCCCAUCCACGGCUUAGAAUGGGUCCAGAGCAGGUCACCAGGGCAGGGCUCGGGCCGAGGAGAGGUGGACCAGCAGCUCUGUUUGUGCCCAUUUCAGCCUGAAUUUCAUCAAAAGUGCACUGGGUUAGGAUUUGGCCAUAAGAAGGAAUCCAGGAGCCAGGUGCGGUGGCUCAUGCCUGUCAACCCAGCACUUUGGGAGGCUGAGGCGGGUGGAUCACCUGAGGUCAGGGGUUCAAGACCAGCCUGGCCAACAUGGUGAAACCCUGUCCCUACUAAAAAUACAAAAACAUUAGGUGGGUGUGGUGGCACACUCCUGUAAUCCCAGCCACUCGGGAGGCUGUGGCAGGAGAAUCGCUUGAACCGGGGAGGCGGAGGUCCCAACGUGAGCUGAGAUCGCGCCACUUCGCUCCAGCCUGGGCCACAGAGUGAGACUCCGUCUCGAAAAAAUAAAAUACAAAGGAAUCCAGUUCAGACACAUGUUACAACAUGGACGAGCCUCAGAACAUCAGGCUCAGUGAGACAGGACGGACGCCAAGGUCACGGGUCGUAUGAGCCCAUUUACCUGAAAUGUCUAGAGCGGGCAAAGCCACGGGAAAGGAGGCAGGAUCUGUGGUCCACGGCUGGGUGGGGCUGUGGGGAUCGAACGUUUCACAGGUAGGACGUUUCCUUUUGGGCUGGUGAGAAUGUUGUGGAACUAGGAGGUGAUGGCCCAGCACGGCGAGGUGCCAAACGUCACUGAGGGGUUCUCUGGAACAUGGAGAAUUUCAUGCUAUGCGAACUUCACCUCAAAUUUUAGAAAAGUAAAAUGAAAACAAAAGGACAGCAGACAGCCCGCCCUGGUGCUUCAGGACCGCCGGAAUACGCCGUGCCAUUCACCCGCACUUCUUCGUCUAUAUUAAGGACCAUCUAGCAGUUUAAAAAUGACGUUUAGAAACAGAUGUGUCUCAUUCCCUAAGAAGGCACUUCACUUAAAAACGGAGGUUUCUCUGCAAACCCAGACAGAGCUGCAGCGCCCGGGAGAGGGGCCGGGUGGGGUCCCCGAGAUGUCUUCCUUUCACCCUGCAGCUCACCCCACUGCGGCCACGGGCAUGUGGGCUCUGGCCUGAGCGCCUCUCACCAACACGAGGCAGGAGGAGGAGGAGGGCAUCCUGAGCGUGCCCCGUCAAGCAAAAACUCUUAAGAGAAAAAGCCGGGCCGACGAGGGAGAGGCCUGAGGGAGUGGAGAUGAGGCUCCGCCACCCCAGGGCUGCCCGGUGCUGGGGCAGAAGAGGCUGAGAUGUGGAGGAGAGUAGAGAGGGAGGGAGGGGCUCCCCAGGGCUCCCCAAGAGCGCACAGGCUGAAGAUGGGGCUGCCUCCCUGGAGACCCACUAACAAGGCUACCCUAGGUGGGACCCUGUCCCCGCCGUCCCAGCCUGCGCCAGCACAACCCCCGGGAUCCAGGCACACACAAGCCCGCAGCUGGCCGCGCUCCCAGCAGCUGCGGACCAGCUUCACGGAGGAAUGAGCCCGUCGGCACCUCGUCCAGCUGUCCCCCAGCACCCCGGCCUGGCAGCUCCCGCUGCCUUGGGGCCAUUGUCCGUGGCGUGUGGUUGCAGCUGUCUCUGGCACCCACAGGAACCCAGCAUGGGUCCAAGGCUAAUCGUGCACCCUUCAUUUACCCCCAUUUUUCAUGUCCUGAGUUCUGUGAAUGGAAGGAGGCCCAGGACCCAUCGAUGCCAACAUCUGUCAUCUCCUUCUAGGAGCUCCAGGCCAUGACUGCCCCCACCCCUACCCCCCAGAAGGAGACGUGGCUCUUCGUGACCCUGCAAGCCGGCAAGCCGUGGUUUCUAGGCAGAGCAGAAGCGAAAUGCCCCACGCGGUCACGUUGUCAGGAACCAUAUUCUGCACUGGAAAAAACCCUGGAAACUGCCUGGCCCAGAGGUCACAAACCAGAGGCCCGCCGGCUGAACCCUGCCCACAGCACAGUGUCACUGUAGCAGUCACCAUGGUCACAGUAACGCUGCGGAACAAACAGCCUCAGAGCCCAGCGCCGUGUGUCGCCAGGUGGUGCUGCCCAAGCCCAGGCCCCGAGAAAGCCAGGGCAAAAGCAGAGCUGGACCCACCCCUCUGCCCCUUCCUCUGAGCCUCGGAAGCAAGGCUUUGCUGAAGGCUCUCGUUUGAAACCCAGGCUGCGGAGGAACCACUCCCUGCUCCCACCUUGCCCCUUGUACCCACCUGAGGGCAUCUUAAUUAAACCUUCCUUCCCUACAUUCAGAAAAAUAAAUACUUUGGAA
Molecule: long non-coding RNA, 4243 nt
Organism: Callithrix jacchus (white-tufted-ear marmoset)
Lineage: Eukaryota; Metazoa; Chordata; Mammalia; Primates; Cebidae
Source: RefSeq, a predicted model, not a curated record